RNAcentral lists this unclassified non-coding RNA (130 nucleotides) under uncultured Ascomycota. RNAcentral describes it as "sequence contains ITS1". Lineage: Eukaryota; Fungi; Ascomycota. The record is from RNAcentral.
UUGAAGGGGGCCCCCGGGUCCAACCUUAAACCCUUUGACUUAAAACCCGUUUCUUUGGCGGCUUGCCGUCAGAAGUUUUCUCAAACCCAUUAUAAACAAACGUGUCGUCUGAAACAAUAUAAAUAAAAUA